AAUAUACAAAACCUAUUUUCAUAGUAUAUUCUGAUUUUACCAUACAGUACAACAUGUUUUCGAUGCUUCGAUUUAAUGAUUUUCUAGAAAAUUGAUUUUUAUCUAUGUGUUGAUAUUUAUUGUUAUUAAGAAUGAGUUUGAUUAAUGAUUUUAUUAUCGUUUUUGAGUAAAUGCAUGAUAUUAGAAUUGAGUGGAUUUUGAGAUAUGCUGAAUAAAAAGAAAAUGAGAUUUCAGAUGUGAUUAUAUGUUUAUGUACAUGUGUAUAAAAUGUUGUUUGGAAAAUCAUUGGAUAGUACCCUUCCCCUCUAGAUACAGAGAUACAGAUAAUACGAGAUGAAUAUAGAGAUACAGAUGAGAUGAUAUAGAGGCCUUUGGGGCCCGUCUAAACACACAUAGAGGCUUUGGGCCGUGUGUUUGGGCGUUUUUGCCUUUUGGGGGCUUAUGCAUGUAGUAUGAUGAUUACAGAGAUACAAAUGUUGAGAUACAUGAGAUAUGAGAUGAGAUUUCCCCGUCUAUCCGUUGUAGCUCCGGGGCAUGAUGGUUCCCUGAUUGCCCGUCCGUCGAGGUCCGGAUAUGAUGAGAUCAUUCCCCUGGGUACUUGUUUGGUGAUAGAUUUAUGUAAUAUAGUUAUUUCAGUGCAUGAUUUGAAUUGAAUAUGUUUAUAUAAGUUCUUAUGAUAUUUUGAUGAAAUUGAUUUGAGAAAGAUUAAAUCAUUUUAAAUAAAUUUAUUUUUCAAAAACUA
Molecule: long non-coding RNA, 742 nt
Filed under: Citrus sinensis (sweet orange)
Lineage: Eukaryota; Viridiplantae; Streptophyta; Magnoliopsida; Sapindales; Rutaceae
Description: long non-coding RNA (CSIN_LNC004154)
Source: RNAcentral